GGGACCAGGCUCCUGCAUCCCUCCAGAAACCCGACCUCUCCAGCCUUCGCCGUCUCGCCGGGGCUCUUGCCCUACAAUCGCCCGCGUCCGCCGCCCCUCAACCGAUCCAGGCCUC
RNAcentral lists this small RNA (115 nucleotides) under Caulobacter vibrioides NA1000. Its description in RNAcentral is "small non-coding RNA". Lineage: Bacteria; Pseudomonadati; Pseudomonadota; Alphaproteobacteria; Caulobacterales; Caulobacteraceae. The record is from RNAcentral.